UUUUUAAUUGAAAUCUUGUAUGAAUGGUCGGACAAAAGAAAUACUGUCUUUGUAUUAUAAAUUGAAUUUAACUUUUAAGUGAAAAGGCUUAAAUAAUCUAGAAAGACGAUAAGACCCUAUAAAGCUUUACAUUUAAGUUAAUUUUUUAUUUAAUUUUGUAGAUAAAGAUUUAAUUUUAUUAUUUUGUUUUGUUGGGGAGACAACGGUAAAAUUAUUGUUAACUGCUGAGUUGUAAAACAGUGAUAUAUGUAUAAAUGUGUAAUAGAUCCUUUUUAAAGACUAAAAGAUUAAGUUACUUUAGGGAUAACAGCGUUAUUUCUUUUGAGAGUUCUUAUCGAAAAAGGAGAUUGCGACCUCGAUGUUGAAUUAAAAUAUCUUUAUAGUGCAGUUGCUAUAAAAGAAAGUCUGUU
Molecule: ribosomal RNA, 410 nt
Filed under: Foza raimundi
Lineage: Eukaryota; Metazoa; Arthropoda; Malacostraca; Decapoda; Deckeniidae
Description: partial 16S ribosomal RNA
Source: RNAcentral